Dermacentor albipictus is the source of this 1016-nucleotide long non-coding RNA. RefSeq lists it as uncharacterized. The record is from RefSeq and is a predicted model, not a curated record. NCBI's taxonomy places the organism in Eukaryota, Metazoa, Arthropoda, Arachnida, Ixodida, Ixodidae.
CAAGCUUGAUUUCAAGCAGCAAUAUUGUGUACGAAACUGCGACUAUGUACAGUACCUUCCGCCAUAGAGUUAGUAGAACAACUCUAGAGGAAAAGCUGGGCCGGAAACAUAGAGUUAGUAGAACAACUCUAGAGGAAAAGCUGGGCCGGAAAAGUGGGAACCUCUAGGGCGCCGCCCUGUUGCUACUGGUCAAUGUGGCCAGCGCAAUUACUAUUGAAAGAGCUGAGAACAAGUACAGGUCACCUUAUGCUUUGUCACCUAAAAACGCAUACCUGAUGGCUUUAUGAAGGUGGUACGUUAAUAUUAAGUUUACAGGAAGCGAUCACUAAGUCCGUGACUUAUGUAAAUCACGAUGUACGCAUUUAUGCAAUAAAGGAUGACGCAAAUUUCGGUUUCGAAUCUGUUUUUUGGAUGCGUAGUAGUUUCGUUUGACAUGCGAUCGCGCGUCGACAUCGGACGCUAUGACACACUCGUGCCUUAUGUGCCACCGAAGCCCCGAAGUGGUCUGGCAUAUACCUUCACAUAUAUGCAAUGGCAAGCCCUUCCGUGUGUUCCAAAGACAAUGCCUACGCCUAGCCACAGCAGCUCCCUCAUACAGACUCCACAAACCAAGAGGCCGUGGAGGCAAAUGCAGGCAGCCAGCACACCUCGAACAGCCACCUUGACUGCGGGUGUGUCACCCUAGUCGCCAAGGAAACAUUUGAGGGAAAGUGACAGGCAAUGUGAACAGCCACUUCUCCAUGUAAACAAUACUCUUUCUCUCGGAUGACUCCUACGCCUCACCACGCCAGCACACUUGUGCACAAAGAUGCCGCAGAGGCACGUGCAGGUCAGAGGCAAGAAGCAGUGGCACUGGUGUCGACAUUUACCCAAUUUCUUUUUCUUACACUGAGGCAGCCAGCACACCUCGAACAGCCACCUUGACUGCGGGUGUGUUAGUUGAUUCCUGUUGUACAUAUGCUCAUAAUAAACUUCAGUAAACUUGAACUUCAUAAUAAACUUGAAGGCAAAUGGGA